UUCCUUGAGAUGCUGACAUCCAAUUUGUGCACUUCUCUGUAUGUAUGUCAUACUAUAGUAAGAUAUGCACCUUCUUAUCACUUGGUGGGAUGAAAUUCCUUACUCAGAUGUUUAAAACCACCUCACAGAGGUGAUAGGUACCCCUCCUGGUGAGAGUGGGAACCCAGGCAUCUGUACUGGUUAAUUUUAUGUGUCAACGUGUCUGGACCAUGAAACCCAGAUAUUUAGUUAAACAUCCUGAAUGUUUCUGUGAAAGAGUUUCAUUGUUUUUUGUUGUUUUUUGCUGAAGUUAACUUUCAAAUGGGUGGACUUUAAAUAGAUCGCCCUGCACGGCGUGGGAAAGCCUCCACCAAUCAGGCGAGGCCUUAGUAGAACCAACCCAAUAAAAGCCAGGAUUCUGUUGGCAGCGCUCCUUUGGGUUGCACCUCUUCCUGGAGUCUGCAGUCUGUAGUCCUACUCCAUCAGAUUGGGAUUCACUAAGCCUCCACAAUCAUGUUAGGAAAGUGAGGAAGAAAGAAGUGGAAUAAGUCAUCCAGGAUCAUAUUUCUGGCACCAACAACAUCAUCUGGAACAUUUUCAUCAUCACUUCAAAUAUCUUUAUUCUUCAGUCUUUCUUCUCCAUUUAUCUUGCUUACCAUUUUUUGUAAAUGUAGUCUUUCUAUAAUAAAUGGGAAUAACUUUUAAUUUCUCUUUAUAGUUUCUAUACUUUGAGUGAUACUUACUUCCAUUGUUUUAAUCAUUUCCAUAUUGUUGAUUAUUAAUAAACCUCUAGAAAUUACCUUUCUAGAAA
This is a long non-coding RNA of Bubalus bubalis (water buffalo), 790 nucleotides long. RefSeq lists it as uncharacterized. NCBI's taxonomy places the organism in Eukaryota, Metazoa, Chordata, Mammalia, Artiodactyla, Bovidae. The record is from RefSeq and is a predicted model, not a curated record. The transcript is spliced from 3 exons.